Molecule: ribosomal RNA, 454 nt
Filed under: uncultured bacterium
Lineage: Bacteria
Description: partial 16S ribosomal RNA
Rfam family: Bacterial small subunit ribosomal RNA
Source: RNAcentral
GAUGAACGCUGACAGAAUGCUUAACACAUGCAAGUCAACUUGAACUUCGGUUUGGGUGGCGGACGGGUGAGUAACGCGUAAAGAACUUGCCUCACAGCUAGGGACAACAUUUGGAAACGAAUGCUAAUACCUGAUAUUAUGAUUAUAUGGCAUCGUAUAAUUAUGAAAGCUAUAUGCGCUGUGAGAGAGCUUUGCGUCCCAUUAGCUAGUUGGAGAGGUAACAGCUCACCAAGGCGAUGAUGGGUAGCCGGCCUGAGAGGGUGAUCGGCCACAAGGGGACUGGGACACGGCCCUUACGCCUACGGGAGGCAGCAGUGGGGAAUAUUGGACAAUGGACCGAGAGUCUGAUCCAGCAAUUCUGUGUGCACGAUGAAGUUUUUCGGAAUGUAAAGUGCUUUCAGUUGGGAAGAAAAAAAUGACGGUACCAACAGAAGAAGUGACGGCUAAAUACGUG